This 261-nucleotide long non-coding RNA is filed under the name Rattus norvegicus (Norway rat). Its description in RNAcentral is "long non-coding RNA NONRATT021461". The record is from RNAcentral. Lineage: Eukaryota; Metazoa; Chordata; Mammalia; Rodentia; Muridae.
UGCCAAGCUGAAAGCGAGGCUAAGGAGGUUCCUGGCAGGGCUUGGCAAGAUGCUGAGGUACAGGCAGUAGCAAGUGUGGAGAGCAGGUCUGUCUCUACCAGCCCCAGUAUCCUCCCUGCAUUUUUAAAGGAAAACCCUGCUCUUGAGCAGGAGAAUGGUCAAGAGCAGCUGCGGGUCAUUUGCCAUGACAAGGGCAGUGGAAGCCGCUUGUUGGAACUCUCUAACAGCAUGGUAGACCCCCAGGAGUCAAGGCAGUGCCCC